GACGAACGCUGGCGGCGUGCUUAACACAUGCAAGUCGAGCGGUAAGGCCCUUCGGGGUGACACGAGCGGCGAACGGGUGAGUAACACGUGGGUGAUCUGCCUCGKACUUCGGGAUAAGCCUGGGAAACUGGGUCUAAUACCGGAUAUGACCACAUGCUGCAUGGUGUGUGGUGGAAAGAUUUAUCGGUGCGAGAUGGGCCCGCGGCCUAUCAGCUUGUUGGUGGGGUAAUGGCCUACGCAAGGCGACGACGGGUAGCCGACCUGAGAGGGUGACCGGCCACACUGGGACUGAGACACGGCCCAGACUCUCCUACGGGRGGCAGCAGUGGGGAAUAUUGGACAAUGGGCGCAAGCUGAUCCAGCAAUGCCGCGUGUGUGAAGAAGGSCUUCGGGUUGUAAAGCACUUUUAUCGGGAACGAAAAGCGUACGGCUAAUAUCCGUGCGUGCUGACGGUACCCGAGGAAUAAGCACCGGCUAACUUCGUGCCAGCAGCCGCGGUAAUACGAAGGGUGCAAGCGUUAAUCGGAAUUACUGGGCGUAAAGCGUGCGUAGGUGGUCUUUUAAGUCCGUUGUGAAAGCCCUGGGCUCAACCUGGGAAUGGCAGUGGAUACUGGGAGGCUAGAGUACGGUAGAGGAUGGUGGAAUUCCCGGUSUAGCGGUGAAAUGCGUAGAGAUCGGGAGCGAACAUCAGUGGCGAAGGCGGCCAUCUGGACCMGUACUGACGCUGAGGCACGAAAGCGUGGNGAGCAAACAGGAUUAGAUACCCUGGUAGUCAAU
Molecule: ribosomal RNA, 777 nt
Filed under: uncultured bacterium
Lineage: Bacteria
Description: bacterial SSU rRNA
Rfam family: Bacterial small subunit ribosomal RNA
Source: RNAcentral